Molecule: small nuclear RNA, 319 nt
Filed under: Pterocles gutturalis (yellow-throated sandgrouse)
Lineage: Eukaryota; Metazoa; Chordata; Aves; Pterocliformes; Pteroclidae
Description: 7SK RNA
Rfam family: 7SK RNA
About the family: 7SK was discovered as an abundant small nuclear RNA in the mid-70s but a possible function has only recently been suggested. Two independent studies have found that 7SK RNA binds the CDK9/cyclin T complex (known as elongation factor P-TEFb).
Source: Rfam by way of RNAcentral
GGAUGUGAGGGCGAUCUGGCUGCAACAUUUGUCACCCCAUUGAUCGCCAGGGUUCAUUUGGCUGAUCUGGCUGACUAGGUGGGUGUCCCCUUCCUCCCUCACCACUCCAUGUGCGUCCCUCUGGAAGCUGCGCGCUCGGUUGAAGAGGACGACCUUCCCCUAUAGAGGCAUGCCGUUCAUUGGUCAAGGGUAUAUGGUAGUUGCGCUCCCCUGCUAGAACCUCCAAACAAGCUCAAGGUCCAUUUGUAGGAGAAUGUAGGGUAGUCAAGCUUCCAAGACUGUCAAGUGAGGCACUGCAUGGGGCAGUCUGCCUUUGUUU